AGAGUUUGAUCCUGGCUCAGGAUGAACGCUAGCGGCAGGCUUAACACAUGCAAGUCGAGGGGCAGCAAGGGUAGCAAUACCUGUUGGCGACCGGCAAACGGGUGCGGAACACGUACACAAUCUACCUUUAUCUGGGGUAUAGCCCGAAGAAAUUCGGAUUAAUCCCCCAUAAAAUAGCAGAGAAGCAUUUCUUAACUAUUAAAACUCCGGUGGAUAAAGAUGAGUGUGCGUCCCAUUAGCUAGUUGGUAGGGUAACGGCCUACCAAGGCGACGAUGGGUAGCUGGUGUGAGAGCACGACCAGCCACACGGGCACUGAGACACGGGCCCGACUCCUACGGGAGGCAGCAGUGAGGAAUAUUGGUCAAUGGACGCAAGUCUGAACCAGCCAUGCCGCGUGAAGGAUGAAGGCCCUCCGGGUUGUAAACUUCUUUUACCGGGGAAGAAAACUAUGGUUUCUACUAUAGCCGACGGUACCCGAGGAAUAAGCACCGGCUAACUCCGUG
RNAcentral lists this ribosomal RNA (504 nucleotides) under uncultured Chitinophagaceae bacterium. RNAcentral describes it as "bacterial SSU rRNA". It matches the Rfam family "Bacterial small subunit ribosomal RNA", at positions 8 to 507 of the family's 1533-position model. The record is from RNAcentral. Lineage: Bacteria; Pseudomonadati; Bacteroidota; Chitinophagia; Chitinophagales; Chitinophagaceae.